CAGCGGACCCACCCUGGCCCCGCUGCCACCACCCUGUCCCCAGGGGACGCGGGGUGCAGGGGCCGUGCACGCCCCAUGGGCUGCUCUCUUCCACCCCAGAAGCACGGACACGCGCGAGCGACCCGCCCCACGCCAAAACCCUGCAACAA
Molecule: long non-coding RNA, 149 nt
Organism: Oxyura jamaicensis (ruddy duck)
Lineage: Eukaryota; Metazoa; Chordata; Aves; Anseriformes; Anatidae
Exons: 4
Source: RefSeq, a predicted model, not a curated record